GACGAACCGUCCAAACGUUAUUCGGAAUCACUGGGCUUAAAGGGUGCGUAGGCGGCUCAGAAAGUAGGGUGUGAAAGCCCUCGGCUCAACCGAGGAAUUGCGCCCUAAACUACUGGGCUUGAGGAACGCAGAGGUAAGCGGAACUUAGGGUGGAGCGGUGAAAUGCGUUGAUAUCCUAAGGAACACCAGGAGCGAAAGCGGCUUACUGGGCGUUUUCUGACGCUGAGGCACGAAAGCUAGGGGAG
RNAcentral lists this ribosomal RNA (245 nucleotides) under uncultured bacterium. Its description in RNAcentral is "partial 16S ribosomal RNA". It matches the Rfam family "Bacterial small subunit ribosomal RNA", at positions 524 to 768 of the family's 1533-position model. The record is from RNAcentral.